Bos taurus (domestic cattle) is the source of this 1370-nucleotide long non-coding RNA. Lineage: Eukaryota; Metazoa; Chordata; Mammalia; Artiodactyla; Bovidae. The record is from Ensembl.
AGCCCGGGAGUCACUGCCCCAGAUUGGGUCUCACCCCUGGCCCCAGGGAGGCAGCGGGCAGAGGCUCAGGGCUGCUGGGGGAGGGGGGCCUGUGUGUGCCCGUGAUGUGUGCCCCCUGCUUGUGGGGACCCCUCAGACCAGCAUCCGGGAGCGCAGGGAGGGACAGAAAAAGGGGGAUCCAGGACCACUCAUAGGAGGACCCAGGACCACCACCCAGAGGGGAGCAGAGCCACCCCAAGAUGACCACUCACCAGAGAAUGCUGCAACCUUUAGGUUGAGAUGAGCAGCUGUGAGCCUAGCACAGGUGCCCAAGGGACCAGGGACCCAGCCCCGGGAGGUGGGCAGACAGGACAGCGGCAGGGGGUGUGGAUGACACAAGCCACUUCACACCCCAGGAUGGCUGCCCCCCAUCCCCAUGGCCCCGGCACUGGGUCAAGGGUGAACAGGAUGCUGGGCCCACCCAGAUGCUACAAGUUCAACAUGAAGACAAGUCCCUGGUUACCAGCUACAAUCAACGGAUCCAUACACCGCUGUGCACUCGAAAGAUGCCUUCUCUCCUGGGUAUUCUCCAUCUCUGCAGGGAAGAUGCCUAGCACCCAAGCAAUGUAUUUUUCAACAAUCCACAUACUUGUUGCACCCCGUGAAACCCCCGUCGGUCACCCUCAUCAUCUUUGGCAGAGAGAAUGGAUAACUGUCACCCACCAGGACCUCUUUGACUAAAUCAUCUACCUAUCGAUCUGGAGGGACCGUAUGCCUCAAGGAUCCUGGACCCUGUCUUCUUCAGCUAGCCUGAGACUCUGGUACCAACAUUCCCAUGAGCAGAGGAAUAAAUGCGAAACCAAGUGGGUCCCCCGGGUGUCUCCAAUGUUACCACGUACAAGUCUUGUGUGAUCAUGUCAAAAGUCUGUGCUUUCAGUGCAGUUGUGAAGAUGGAAGUCGUAUAUUCUGGGGAGAAAGAGGGUUUUAUUUCCCUUCUGAACAUUUUAAAGGGAAAACAUUUAUGAUGUUUGAUCAGCUUAUGAAUAACACAGAUGAAGGAAAUGCAAACUCUCAUCAUAUGGAAAACAAACACACAUAAUAACACUUCUUAGUGUUUCGUAUCAAGAGUUUAUUGGAUCUUGCCCCCCCCAAAAUUUUUUUUUUUAAUUUUACAGCAGAAACCUGAGGCUCAGAGAAGCUAGAACUUUGUUUAGGUUUAUACAACUGACCGUGCUUAACCAAGUUUCUCCUGAGAAUAAACGACAAAGUCUGUAAAACCAGGGAGAUGUAACAGCUCAAUGCAUCACCACAGCCUGCAUAACAUCCUGGAACAAAAAGGGGACAUUAAUGGGAAAGCUGGUGAAAUCCAAAUAAAGUCUGCAGUUUGGCUU